AGACAUGAAUCACAAUAAGGGUGAAGAAUCAGGAAUGUCACAACUAACAAAAGAUGAUGAGGUUACACUCAAAGACAAAACCUUAAACAUAAAGGAUGAUGAGCAGCAACAAAAGUCCACUAAAGAUUAGGUCAUCUAGACCUUUGAUCAAAGAGAUCAUUCUACAGAAGAUCAGCAGGAGAACAAGCACAUACAUUAUCACAUUGGGGAUGGAAAUACAGACAUGAAUGCACCUACUAUUGGAAUGGAGAUAGUUCUCAGGAAUGAGAAUCUUCCCCUGGUAACAACUGAGCAUAAUGAAGAAAGGUUCAAGAAGGAUGACAGGGAUCUGAAGUUAGCACAACAUGGUGGACCUGCAACAACCAAUACAAAAACAUCAACAUAUAAUUUUGAUAAAAUAGCUACCUUCCAGGAACCACUUCAAAUAGUUGGGAGUGAGGUAGUGUUUGCACUUGAAUAUAAUGCAUCCAAAGAGGUAACAACAAUAUAGGGAAUGAGAGAAAUUAUGAAUACCUGCAAAAAGUCCAGCCCUAUUAGAACAUUACUUAAUCUUGUUUCUCAUCAACUUAUUGAAGAAGAUUAUCAGGUCAGCACAUACAACCACGAGGGUGAAGAUGUAGAAGAUACAGAAGAAGAAAAUAACACCUUUAAAGAAGAUCAAAUAAUGAAGAAUGCUGGUCUAACUGUUCAAUCAAUUUCCAAAGGAGUCAAAGGAAAAGUUAUUGUGGAUAAUAGACCUGUCAGAGUAAACCCUAAAAGGGCUGUGAAAAUAAGUUCUAAAUGAAGAUGAAGACUUUGUUUUGGAAUGUGAGAGCUGUCAAAACUCAAAAUUAAUUCCAGAGGAUCCAAAUGCUCAACAGACAUCACAAAUUCUCUUUCAUUGCAUUGAUGGGACCAUUUCAAGAAGGGAAUCAAAUUCACAGGUAUAAAAGAAAGCUAGGCAUGUCCUAUGCAACUCAUAAUCAGAAUGACAAGAUUUGGAUAUUUGUUCAGGAACAUAUUCAUGUUAGGGUGAUAUCAGACUCAGAUCAACAAUUGACAUUUCAACUUCACUUCCAAGAGACUGGUGAUAUCAUUUUGGCUACAGUAGUGUAUGCAAAAUGUGAUGCCUUGGAAAGAAUCAAUCUGUGGGAUGAUAUAUAUAAUAUUAGUGUUAAUUACAAUAUGCCCUGGAUAGUGGGGGGAGAUUUUAAUGUCAUUAUGAAUGAUGAGGAGAAAAUAGGGGGUCUCCCAGUGUACCCUCAUGAGUAUGAAGAUUUUGCCUUCUGCAUGAAUUCUUGUGAAUUACUACACAUUAAUUUUAAGGGCAGCCCUUUUAGUUGGUGGAAUGGUAGAAUUGAUGAGGAGUGUAUCUUUAAGAGAUUGAAUAGAAUUAUGGUGAAUCAAUCUUUUAUUGGCUUAUUAGGCAACCUUGAAAUGGAACAGUUGCCAAGGACUGGCUCUAACCAUGCCCCCAUGCUUCUAACUAGUGGUGGGCAAAGCUCAGAUGUGAGGAAGCCUUUCAAAUUUUUGAAGUUUUGGGUGGAGAAAAAGGAUUUCUGGAAAUAGUUGCUAAUAGCUGGAAAUCACAAGACUCUUUUGAUGUCUUCAUUAGCUUGAAACAAAAGAUGAAGAACACUAAAAUAGCUCUAUCCAGAUGGAGCAAAGAGAGUUUUGGUGAUAUUUUCAAGCAACUUAUUAUUAGGGAAGAGAUUGUGAUGCUGAAAGAAGAUCUAUUUGAAAAAAAUCCUACAUGUUCUAACAGUAUGAUUUUACAACAAUCUCAGGCUGAGCUACAAAAAUAUAUACACUUUGAAGAAGAAUAUUGGAGACAAAAGCAGGUUUUCAGUGGCAUAUUGAAGGGGAUAAAAAUACUAGAUUUUUUCACUGCCUAGUGAAUGGGAGAAGAAAGAGACUAUCUGUGAGUCGAAUGCUUAAGGAAGAUGGGCAGUGGGCUGAAGGCAAUGAUCAGGUGGCUGAGCAAGCAAUCAAUUUUUUUAAGAAUCAAUUUGCUGUGGAAGAUGGUGCUACUGAUUUGACUUUGCUAAAGUGUCACACCCACCCUAGGUUUGGCGGACAAGUACCAUAUGAACACAUGCUUUACAAGUGACAUAUGAUGAGAAAGUGAACUACUAUGCAUAUAGAUUUGCUACUGAGAAUCUAUAUAUACAACAUAUGUCGACUAGCUGAACCAAACAUGUGACAGGUAAAACUAUGAAUACAGAUGAUACUUUUAAAAUAUCUACAAAACCUCUACUAGAAUCCAUGACUGUACAACUAUCAAAAUACGCAUAGUAAAGACUCGGCAAAUCCCCGAAUCAACCUGGAGCUCACCAACAACCGCUGAGGAUCAUGUGCUUCUAUUGGGGAGAUCUACUAGUUGAGCCCCUGUACAUGUAGCAUGAAAUGUAGCGUCCCUAAUAAGGGACGUCAGUACGAAAGAAUAUAUUGAAUAUGUAAGACAUAAUACAAACAUAUGUAAAAUGAGAGCUCAAGUGAAACCAAAUACAAAUGGGUAAGGAUUAGAGACCAUCUUUGCUUAUACUUUUGGACUCGUGUAUGUUACAUUCUUUUCUUUACUUUUCUACGUGUUCUAAUCUUUAUAAGGCAUAUGAUACAAAUGACCAGCUGAUUAGUGGUAGAAGAGGAUGACCCAUGCUAGGUAUUUAACCCCUGGGAUGCUGUCCUCAUAAUUCAACCAAUUGGGAUCGGCCCAUGCUAGGCUUUCACCCUUGAGCUGCCACCCUUCUAUACCAAUUGGGAUUUACCCAUGCUAGGCUUUCCCCCCUGAGCUGCCACCCUUCCAUAUCAAUUGAGAUCGACCCAUGCUAGGCAUUUGCCCUUGGGCUGCCACCCAUUAUUAUACAAAUUGCUUCACUUAGAUUGAUUGUUAUUUUGAUGUUCAUAACUCUUUUGAGAUUGCUGUUUUGGUGGUCAUAUAAAACAUGUCCCUCAUGUAAUUUUGGAGGAGGAUAAUAUGCUACUAAAAGUCUGUCCUACGAAGCAGGAGGUGAAGAAGGUAGUUUUCAAGCUAAAUGGUAAUAGUGCUAGUGGUCCUGAUGGAUUUACUGGCUUUUUCUUUCAAUCGUGUUGGGAUAUUGUUGGAAAUGAUAUUUUUAAUGCGGUGACUGCCUUUUUUAAUGGCUUUACUCUACCAAAGUCCAUUACUCAUAUAAAUCUGGUGUUGGUUCCAAAGAAAGAUAUUGUUCACUCAUUUAGUGAUAUGAGGCCAAUUAGUUUGAGUAGUUUCAUUAAUAAGGUGAUCUCCAUGAUUGUACAUGAUAGAUUGGAAAGAGUGCUACCUAUCAUUAUUUCUAAAAAUCAGUCUGGAUUUCUGAAGGGAAGAAAUAUAACAGAAAAUGUCUUGUUAGCUCAGGGGAUUGUUUAUGAUGUUAGAAUUAGAGGUAAGCCUAAAAAUGUGGUGAUCAAGUUAUACAUGACAAAGGCUUAUGACAGAGUUAAUUGACAAUUCUUAAUUAAAGUCUUGGAGAAAAUGGGAUUUGAUAAGAAUGUGGUUGACAUGGUUUGGAGGUUGAUUGCUAAUAAUUGGUACUCUGUUCUGAUUAAUGGUCAAACACAUGGUUUUUUCAAUUCUACGAGGGGUGUCAAACAGGGUGAUCCACUAUCACCUACCCUUUUUACCUUAUCAGCUUAGGUUUUUACUAGGGCCCUGAAUGACUUGUUUAACAAGGAUUAUAAGGGUUAUGGGAUGCCUAAGUGGAAUGAUAACAUUAAUCAUCUAGCUUAUGCUAAUGAUACUAUCAUUUUUAUGUCAGCUGACAAGGGUUUUCUAAGGUUGGUCAUGAAUACAUUGGAAGACUAUGAAGCUCAAUCUGGUCAAUUAAUCAACAAAGGAAAAAGUGCAUUUUACAUGUUUAAUAAGGCAACUAUUAUUCAUGUAGAUGCUGUAGAGGAGAUUACAGGGUUUAGUAGAUGAUCAUUCCCUUUUAAUUAUUUGGGUUGUCCUAUUGGAUAUGCAAAGAAACAGAAGAUUCAUUUCAAAGAAUUGAUUAAGAAGGUGCAAAACAAACUGCAGGUUUGGAAAGGAAAAUUAUUAUUAUUUGGAGGUAAAAUGGUUUUGAUUCAAUCUGUACUCAAUAGUAUCCCUAUUUAUCUUAUUUCUGUCAUGAGUCCUGCCAUGCAUGUUAUCCAUGAUUUAUAUAGAAUCUUUGCUAGAUUUCUAUGGAAUUAUAAAUAAAAUGGGAGAAAUAAACAUUGGGUUACUUGGCCUAAUAUUUUUUUUACCCAAGGAGGAAGGAGGGUUAGGUAUUAGAUCUUUAUUUGAUGUCUCUAAAGCUUUAUUUGCUAAAUUAUGGUGGAAUUUUAGGACCUAAAAAUCAAUAUGGUCUAAUUUUCUAUGGAACAAAUAUUGCAAAAAUUGGGUCCUCAAAUUGUAGAAUGGAAAGGAGAAUCACAAGUCUGGAAGCUAAUGCUAGAAGCUAGAGAUAAGAUAGACCAGUAGAUAUGGUGGGAGCCUAAGAUUGGUCAUUCCAAUCUAUGGUUGGAUAACUAGACUCAAAUUGGUGCCUUGCAUUAUUAUCUGCCUAUGAAUUAUGAGGGUGAUUAUUAUUUAGAAGAGGUGAAACAAGUAUACAAUCAAGGAGAUUGGAAUUGGGAGUUAAUGAUUAAUAUAUUUACUAAAGAGGUGUGCUCUCAUAUUGCUAAGCAUGUAGUAUUAAUCCCAAAUUCUGAAGAGUGGGACAAACCUUGGUGGAUGUUAAAUAGAUCAGGCAAGUUUUCUAUUAAAUCUUCCUGGAACUUUCUGAGACAAAAAAACGAAUCUAAUGAACUGUUCAAAAACAUUUGGAUAAGAGGGAUGCCUUAUAAGGUCUCUUUCUUUAUGUGGAGGUUAUGGAAGAAAAUGAUUCCUAUUGGAGAAGUUCUGGUUAAGAAUACAAUAUGGGAUAAUGUUCUUUGUGUUUGUUGUGGACUAGGAUAUCCAGAAACCAUAGAACAUUUGUUCAUCUACUGUGAAGCAUCUUGCAGAAUAUGGUCUGAGUUUGCAGCUGGUGUAGGGAUUGAAGGUCCUUUCCAUCAUCUAAAAGACAUUGUAUGGAAAUGGUGGAAGGUAGAGGUUUUACCUAAGCUUAAGCCCAUUUAUAAGGCAGUUCCUCUGUUCAUUUUAUGGAAAAUUUGGAAAAGAAGGAACAAGAUCAAGCAUGGUGGAAAGAUGUCCCAGAUUUCUAUGAGCAUGGAGGUGGGAGGAUCAUUACACCUUAUGGCAAAAAACUUGUAUCCUUGGUUGAGGAAUAUUCCAGGUUCCUGGCAUAUGUUGGUAAAGUUUCUGGAAAAGUAUAUUCCAAUUCUAAAAUGUAGAGUGGUAAAAUGGGCUAAGAAUAUGGCUGGUUAUAAGUGCAAUUCAAAUGGUGCCUCUAAAGGUAACCUAGGGCCUAGUUCAGGUGCUUUUUGCAUUAGGGAUAUGGACGGUAAUUUUGUGUAUGCUGAAGCUAAAAGAUUAGAGGAUGAUAACAACCUCAAGGCAGAGAUCAUGGUCAUCACUAUGGGACUGGAGUUUUGUAGGGCCAAAGACUAUUUCCCUGUUAUGUUGGAAACUAGUUCCCUAGUAGUAAAGAAUAUGAUUUGUUGGGAAUGGGAAGUCCCAUGGAGUGUGACAGGGGAAAUUAGGAAAAUUAAACAUUUGAUAAAGGAGAGAGGUGGUGGUUGCUCAUGUGUUCUGAGAAGGCAACAAGGUUGCAGAUUUUUUAGCUAACAAUACUUUCUCUUUUGCAAGCACACAAAGCAGAAUUUUCUCAUCUUUUCAAGAACUACAAAAGGAAGCAAAGGUGUUGAUUAAUAUGGAUAAAGCAGGAAUUGAAAAUCUGCGAAUAAAAAAAAUGCAAAAUACAAAGUAUGCCGACAGUGAAAGUAGUCACAACAUAUAGUAAAAGCAAGGGACAACAACAAUAGACAUUCAAAAUCACAUUCUUGUCUCUAAUACAUCAGUACAAAGCGGCAUAACAAUUACUCCGAGUAAUAAAGAAAUGAGUUUUAGCAACAUUAACAAAGAAAUACCUGGACUGUGCAGUGGUAUUAGCUAGAUUUUCGGCUCAAUCUGUAGGAAAGGGUAAAUCUUUGUGAUGGAGCCAAAGAUCAGAGGAAAAACUUGAUGCAAUGAGACAUGGAGUGAAUCGAAUCUUACUUGGUUUGUUCAAGCUGAGGCGAAGUGUUCAACGGGCUAUGUUUCCAUGGCAUUCGUGAGAAAUUAGAGUGCCUCUUGUGGAAUCAUCCCAACCACAGCUUGUUGCAGUCUUUGAUGAAUCAAGGACAGUCACCGGCAGAUCCGACUUCGACAACCACCAUGGCAGAUGAGAAAUAGAGCUUGAAGUUGGAGUUGGG
Molecule: long non-coding RNA, 6315 nt
Filed under: Solanum tuberosum (potato)
Lineage: Eukaryota; Viridiplantae; Streptophyta; Magnoliopsida; Solanales; Solanaceae
Description: long non-coding RNA (STUB_LNC007942)
Source: RNAcentral